AGAGUUUGAUCCUGGCUCAGGACCAUCGCUGGCGGCAUGCUUAACACAUGCAAGUCGAACGGAAAGGCCCUUCGGGGUACUCGAGUGGCGAACGGGUGAGUAACACGUGGGUGAUCUGCCCUGCACUUUGGGAUAAGCCUGGGAAACUGGGUCUAAUACCGAAUAUGACCACGCGCUUCAUGGUGUGUGGUGGAAAGCUUUUGCGGUGUGGGAUGGGCCCGCGGCCUAUCAGCUUGUUGGUGGGGUAAUGGCCUACCAAGGCGACGACGGGUAGCCGGCCUGAGAGGGUGACCGGCCACACUGGGACUGAGAUACGGCCCAGACUCCUACGGGAGGCAGCAGUGGGGAAUAUUGCACAAUGGGCGCAAGCCUGAUGCAGCGACGCCGCGUGAGGGAUGACGGCCUUCGGGUUGUAAACCUCUUUCAAUAGGGACGAAGCGCAAGUGACGGUACCUAUAGAAGAAGGACCGGCCAACUACGUGCCAGCAGCCGCGGUAAUACGUAGGGUCCGAGCGUUGUCCGGAAUUACUGGGCGUAAAGAGCUCGUAGGUGGUUUGUCGCGUUGUUCGUGAAAACUCACAGCUUAACUGUGGGCGUGCGGGCGAUACGGGCAGACUAGAGUACUGCAGGGGAGACUGGAAUUCCUGGUGUAGCGGUGGAAUGCGCAGAUAUCAGGAGGAACACCGGUGGCGAAGGCGGGUCUCUGGGCAGUAACUGACGCUGAGGAGCGAAAGCGUGGGGAGCGAACAGGAUUAGAUACCCUGGUAGUCCACGCCGUAAACGGU
Molecule: ribosomal RNA, 785 nt
Filed under: uncultured bacterium
Lineage: Bacteria
Description: bacterial SSU rRNA
Rfam family: Bacterial small subunit ribosomal RNA
Source: RNAcentral